This 253-nucleotide ribosomal RNA is filed under the name uncultured bacterium. RNAcentral describes it as "partial 16S ribosomal RNA". It matches the Rfam family "Bacterial small subunit ribosomal RNA", at positions 524 to 776 of the family's 1533-position model. The record is from RNAcentral.
UACGUAGGGGGCUAGCGUUGUCCGGAAUCAUUGGGCGUAAAGAGCGUGUAGGCGGUUUGGUAAGUCCGCUGUGAAAGUCCAGGGCUCAACCCUGGAAUGCCAGUGGAAACUGUCAAGCUAGAGUCCGGAAGAGGCGAGUGGAAUUCCUGGUGUAGCGGUGAAAUGCGCAGAUAUCAGGAGGAACACCAAUGGCGAAGGCGACUACCUGGCCUGUUCUUGACGCUGAGGCGCGAAAGCUAGGGGAGCAAACGGG